AGAGUUUGAUCCUGGCUCAGAUUGAACGCUGGCGGCAUGCCUUACACAUGCAAGUCGAACGGCAGCACGGGGGCAACCCUGGUGGCGAGUGGCGAACGGGUGAGUAAUACAUCGGAACGUGUCCUGUAGUGGGGGAUAGCCCGGCGAAAGCCGGAUUAAUACCGCAUACGCUCUACGGAGGAAAGGGGGGGAUCUUAGGACCUCCCGCUACAGGGGCGGCCGAUGGCAGAUUAGCUAGUUGGUGGGGUAAAGGCCUACCAAGGCGACGAUCUGUAGCUGGUCUGAGAGGACGACCAGCCACACUGGGACUGAGACACGGCCCAGACUCCUACGGGAGGCAGCAGUGGGGAAUUUUGGACAAUGGGGGAAACCCUGAUCCAGCAAUGCCGCGUGUGUGAAGAAGGCCUUCGGGUUGUAAAGCACUUGUGUCCGGAAA
Molecule: ribosomal RNA, 436 nt
Filed under: uncultured bacterium
Lineage: Bacteria
Description: bacterial SSU rRNA
Rfam family: Bacterial small subunit ribosomal RNA
Source: RNAcentral